UCCCUGGUGGUCCAGCGGGGAAGACUCCGCAUUGUCAAUGCAGGGGGCCCGGGUUCAAUCCCUGGUCAGGGAA
Molecule: non-coding RNA, 73 nt
Organism: Orcinus orca (killer whale)
Lineage: Eukaryota; Metazoa; Chordata; Mammalia; Artiodactyla; Delphinidae
Source: the annotation of a RefSeq genome assembly